RNAcentral lists this unclassified non-coding RNA (250 nucleotides) under Termitomyces sp. Group3. Its description in RNAcentral is "ITS1". Lineage: Eukaryota; Fungi; Basidiomycota; Agaricomycetes; Agaricales; Lyophyllaceae. The record is from RNAcentral.
UUGAAUUAAACCCUGGUUGGGUUGUUGCUGGCCUCUAGAGGCAUGUGCACGCCUGCCAUCGUUUUCAACCACCUGUGCACCUUUUGUAGACUUUGGAUACCUCUCGAGGGUCAAUGACCUCUCGGUUUGGGGGUUGCUGCGCUGUCAAAAGCCGGCUUUCCCUGCAUUUCCGGUCUAUGCAUUUUAUUAUACCCCGUAAAGAAUGUAUUAGAAUGUUUUGUUAUUGGCCUUUGGUGCCUUUAAUCAAAUA